AUUUGGGAUACUUGGACCUUUGGCGAAUAUUUGUCCGCACUUCCUCAUGUAUGAAAUGGCAUGCGGAAUCUAAGCAAUAUCGUGGGGAUUCAAGCUAUUGUAUGAAAUCGUCGGUUUAUGACAAUACCCAUAGAUGAGGCUUCGGCUAUAAUCCGUGUCUCAGCCGCGAUACUACGGAGUGUGCGAGCGUCUUAUCGGAUAUCUUGGGCGUUUGCGCGCGCAGGCGGCUAUUAUAUAUCGGGUGUGAUUGCUCCUUGGGCUUUUCCCAUGAUCUUGCAUUCGACACUUGCUCAGCUAGAGUUAUGGUUAGAGGGAUGCUGGAUCCCCGGGUGCUAGCGGUUGAUUAUGCGUAAGACCCCGGAUGAAACACCAUUGGCCGAUAGCCGGCUUUCCUUGGACCCGGUUACUUGAACGCUUUAGGCCGCCGAAAAGCCUUGGGGAGCAAAACAGGAAUUAGAAACCCCUUGGGUUAGUUCCCACGCCCGUUAUACCACUGCCUUGCUUAGAACUUCUGGGGGGCACUGCCCCUUCUCGGUUUGUUCGCAACUCUAAACGCGGGGAAUGCAACGCCCGCCCUGGGGGAUCUUACCGGGUUCGCAAGACACUUAAUAAUCUUCAAAAUGGAACUCUCUUGAA
Molecule: ribosomal RNA, 636 nt
Filed under: uncultured bacterium
Lineage: Bacteria
Description: partial 16S ribosomal RNA
Source: RNAcentral